Molecule: long non-coding RNA, 798 nt
Filed under: Actinidia chinensis (golden kiwifruit)
Lineage: Eukaryota; Viridiplantae; Streptophyta; Magnoliopsida; Ericales; Actinidiaceae
Description: long non-coding RNA (ACHI_LNC004422)
Source: RNAcentral
UAAUUCUUAAUUUUAAAUAUUUUUUUAAUAACAACCUACUAAAACAUGAUUGGAUUUAGAAAAGUUUUAAAAAAUCUAAAUGUGAGUGUAAGGAGAUAAAAUACCAAGUACCAUCUCUGGCCGAGUUAGGGCGGACACCACUGUUAUGUUGUUGCUAGAUAGCACGUUCAGCGAGGGUCUCUGCGCCGGAGCUCAGUUAAGACGUAACACCAGCUCUGGUCGAGCUAAGGCAAGCAUCACUGCAGGUCUGUCACUCUAUAGCAAGCUCGAUAGGAUCUCUGCGCCGGAGUUUGGUCGAGACACAGGUUGACGACGAUUCCGAGGUAUAUCAAGAGACAAAAGGUGACUUGUACAAUAAUAUUUUCUCUGACAACUCCCACGUUUGGAUUGAGAUAUCGACAAUAUCAGGACUAGCUACUAACCAAGCCUUAAGUGUGUGACUGGUUCAACUGCCUAAUCAUUGACACGACAAUUAGCGCGUCAAGACAAGCGUCAAGCUCCAGUCUGUCUAAUGACAUGAUAGUUGGCGCUCUCGGCAUACACCGAACUAUUAUAUAAGGUCAGACCUUAUUCACUUGAAGGCAUGCAAUUUUAGCUAACUCUAGCCAUAAACUCUUUCUCUCUCUCUCUCUCUCUCCAUACUCCUUGUAUCCACUGAUCAUCUAACUUUGCCGUCAAAGAACCGUUUCCUGAAAACUGCACCGACGGCCAAACUCACUGUUCCUGUGUUACAAUUUGGACACAACAGCCAACAGUUUUCUCAAACUACCGCUUUGCCACCGCAGAUAUCUAUCUUCG